RNAcentral lists this ribosomal RNA (446 nucleotides) under uncultured bacterium. Its description in RNAcentral is "partial 16S ribosomal RNA". It matches the Rfam family "Bacterial small subunit ribosomal RNA", at positions 338 to 795 of the family's 1533-position model. The record is from RNAcentral.
CCUACGGGUGGCAGCAGUCGAGAAUCAUUCACAAUGGGGGAAACCCUGAUGGUGCGACGCCGCGUGGGGGAAUGAAGGUCUUCGGAUUGUAAACCCCUGUCAUGUGGGAGCAAAUUAAAAAGAUAGUACCACAAGAGGAAGAGACGGCUAACUCUGUGCCAGCAGCCGCGGUAAUACAGAGGUCUCAAGCGUUGUUCGGAAUCACUGGGCGUAAAGCGUGCGGAGGCUGUUUCGUAAGUCGUGUGUGAAAGGCGCGGGCUCAACCCGGGGACGGCACCUGUUACUGCGAGACUAGAGUAAGGGAGGGGGAAGCGGAAUUCCCGGUGUAGCAGUGAAAUGCGUAGAUAUCGAGAAGAACACUCGUGGCGAAGGCGGGUUCCUGGACAUUAACUGACGCUGAGGCACGAAGGCCAGGGGAGCGAAAGGGAUUAGAUACCCUUGUAGUC